Marmota monax (woodchuck) is the source of this 2002-nucleotide long non-coding RNA. RefSeq lists it as uncharacterized. Lineage: Eukaryota; Metazoa; Chordata; Mammalia; Rodentia; Sciuridae. The transcript is spliced from 3 exons. The record is from RefSeq and is a predicted model, not a curated record.
CGACCCCACAGCCCCUCUCCCCACUCACCCCUCCAGGUCUCGAUUUUAUGUUCUUCAAUCUCAUAGAUCUGGACCUAGAGGCAUCGACAAGAUUCUGGUUUCAGAUGUGGACUUGGCAGGCACCAGGCUCCCUGAAGACCCCCUUCCACCCCAAUACUACUGGCACCCAGGGCUCCCUGCUGCUCCUUACCAGGGGGGACCUGUAGUAUCUGUGAAGCACCAGGAUGAAGUCUGUGAUGAGGUGCUGCCCGCACACCAUUGGCCACCAGGGCAAAGAAGGCCUUCUUGAUCUGAAGGAUGGGACAGAACAGUGGAUGGUCUCCACCACCUCCCAAUAGUCCGUUCAGCUGUGAAUCCACCAAUGGAUUAAUCCAGUGAUGAUGUCAAAGUCCUUCUGAUUCAAUCACUUCCCAAAGCUCUGCUGCUGAACAUUGCUGCAUUGGAGAUCAAGCCUUCAAUGUAUGGGCCUUAGUGAAACAUUCCAGAUGCAGAUCCAAACUGUAACAGCAGCCCUUUCAGCUGAAACUCAAGCCAUUUUAUUACUAAAGAAAAAAAGAAACAGACGUUAGGAGGCAACUGGCAGUCUCUGUUACAGAAGCUAUUAGAGAAAACACACGCGGGUGUAAAAGAAACUCCCUUUUCAUGAUUUUCAUCUUCAUGCUCAUAGGAAAAGACUCAGAGAAAUCAAGCAAAAUUUCCCAAGGUCAUUGGCAAGCAAAGGACUGAGCCUAAGCUGGAAUCAGGUCUGUCUGUCCCCAAAACAGACUUUUCAUCACAUCCAGCCAACAUAUUUUGGCCAUCAAGGGGCCCACAGUUGAACUGGAGAUGAAUAACAUUUGCUUAUGAAACAGUUGGGUGAAUACCAGCUCAACUCUACUGAGAUGGACACGCAUUGUAAGGAAAUGCAACUUGGAUAAUAGUCAGGGAAGACUUCCCGGAAGAGGAGGCCCUGCUUCUGACCCUGCAGGAAGUAGCACAGAGAAUGGAGCAUGGCAGUGGUGUGAGCUGAGUCUGCUCUGUGCCUGUGAAGGUGACUCAGAGCAUAAGGGGGCAGUGGGCAGAAGCUGGAGGUGUGGGCUCUCUGGGUCCACUGCAUCGUGUGUCCUUGUGGAUGGUUCAGAGAACCUGUAACUCAUGGAAACUGGUAGGAAACACUGAGACCACUGGUGCAUGUUGGCUGUAACUUACUGCUUCUAGCAAAGUUCUACAAGAGCUGGCACUAGGGCUACCUUUGGAAGAAGGUGGUACCUGGGCUCCCAGCCCAUUCUCGAGCCCAUCCUUUUCAGCAGACAGUGGGAACCAGCUCAGUGGGCAGACAUCAGAAGAAGGGAGUUUCCUUUACACCCACGUGUGUUUUCUCCAAUAGCUUCAAGAUUGCCACCACCUUAUGGAGAAUAAGAAGAAUACAAAUCCAGAGUAUUCCUGCAAUAAAUAUUUGAACCCAAUGGUAGAAGAUGCAGGACCUCCCCAUCCUACCAUGGCCUGCCUACCUAUCUCUGUCAGUUUUGUGUCACUAUAACAGAAUACCACAAACUAGGUAAUUUACAAAGAAAAGAAAUUUAUUUCAUACAAGAUCAAGGGUCUACAUCUGGCAGAGCCCUUUUGCUACAUCAUCCUGUGGCAGAAGGCAAAAGGCAAAAGAGCCUGCAUGGAGAGAGAGAGAGAAAGAGAGGGCAAUCUGUUCAUAACAGAUCCACUCUUGAGAAAAUGUUUUCCACUCCAUGAAAACACCAUUAAUCCAUUCCUGAGGCCAGAGCCCUCAUGACCUAACCACCUCUUAGAGGCAGCAUAUCUCAACACUGUUAUUUUGGAGAUAAGUUUCCAACAUAGGGUAUAAAUAUGUCACACUAAACUCUACUGUCAUCUAUAACUAAGAAGAACAUUUAAAAAUAUUUCCGACAUAUGAACUUUUGGGAGACACAUUCAGAUCAUAAUCCUCCCCCACCCCCACCUACUUCUGGACUGUUAUGUUAAAAAUAAACUUCUGUCUUAUGUAAGCCAC